CCUACGGGAGGCAGCAGUGGGGAAUAUUGGACAAUGGGCGAAAGCCUGAUCCAGCAAUGCCGCGUGAGUGAUGAAGGCCUUAGGGUUGUAAAGCUCUUUUACCAGGGAUGAUAAUGACAGUACCUGGAGAAUAAGCUCCGGCUAACUCCGUGCCAGCAGCCGCGGUAAUACGGAGGGAGCUAGCGUUGUUCGGAAUUACUGGGCGUAAAGCGUACGUAGGCGGUUAUUCAAGUCAGAGGUGAAAGCCCGGGGCUCAACCCCGGAACUGCCUUUGAAACUAGAUAGCUAGAAUCUUGGAGAGGUUAGUGGAAUUCCGAGUGUAGAGGUGAAAUUCGUAGAUAUUCGGAAGAACACCAGUGGCGAAGGCGACUAACUGGACAAGUAUUGACGCUGAGGUACGAAAGCGUGGGGAGCAAACAGGAUUAGAUACCCUGGUAGUCCACGCCGUAAACGAUGAUAACUAGUUNUUCGGGCACUUGGUGCCUGAGUGGNGCNGCUACGCAUAAGUUAUCCGUCCGUCGGGUAGGUACGGUCGCGAGAGUUAAACGUUAAAACGUAAAGUUAGACGGCGUGUAAGUACGUGCGAGCGACGACGAGGGAGGAGG
This 605-nucleotide ribosomal RNA is filed under the name uncultured bacterium. Its description in RNAcentral is "bacterial SSU rRNA". The stretch from base 1 to 516 matches the Rfam family "Bacterial small subunit ribosomal RNA", at positions 338 to 873 of the family's 1533-position model. The record is from RNAcentral.